AAUGGGCGAAAGCCUGACCCAGCAACGCCGCGUGAAGGAAGAAGGCUUUCGGGUUGUAAACUUCUUUGACAGGGGAAGAGUAGAAGACGGUACCCUGAAAACAAGCCACGGCUAACUACGUGCCAGCAGCCGCGGUAAUACGUAGGUGGCAAGCGUUGUCCGGAUUUACUGGGUGUAAAGGGCGUGCAGCCGGGAAGGCAAGUCAGAUGUGAAAUCCGUGGGCUUAACCCACGAACUGCAUUUGAAACUGCUUUUCUUGAGUAUCGGAGAGGUAAUCGGAAUUCCUAGUGUAGCGGUGAAAUGCGUAGAUAUUAGGAAGAACACCAGUGGCGAAGGCGGAUUACUGGACGACAACUGACGGUGAGGCGCGAAAGCGUGGGGAGCAAA
This 387-nucleotide ribosomal RNA is filed under the name uncultured bacterium. RNAcentral's name for it is "bacterial SSU rRNA". It matches the Rfam family "Bacterial small subunit ribosomal RNA", at positions 370 to 772 of the family's 1533-position model. The record is from RNAcentral.